AGAGUGCAGUCUCGCUGGGCAGAUCAUGUAAGCCCUAUGGGGCUAUACUGACGCCUGUUCUCAUGUAACGAUGAAACACCAGCAGAAGUUGCCGGACAACGAGCCCGCCUGACCUACUACAGGACGAAUCGACUCUGCUUUGCCAUCUUACUGGAGAACAUCAUGAUUUUCGUCGGCUGUUUUGUAAUCCUUCUGGCUGUCAGUUUACCACUCUCACAGGGAGAUGUAUGUGGAUACGGAUGCUCUCAGCGCUACUCAACGUCGUGUGGGUUGUUUGGCUGGGAUCGCUGUACCAGACACAGGGUUGCACCCUGUAAGCGCCGUGGACGGCUCCUACUAGACUGCGCAUGUAUGUUUCUCUGCGAGUCGCUCCCAUUUUCCACCGGUGGAAAAUGAGUGCGCCCUCUUGUGACUCAACAGUACAGUGACCGCGCUCCACGAAACUUGCAGCCAAUCAGUGAUAAGGCAAGGGAAAGGUCGAACAAUCCAAUCACAUUUUAAAAAGGGGGCGGGGUUUUAGGACAACUAAUUAGUGUAAGUGAGAUAGUGUGAGUAAUGCUAAUCAGCACUAAGGGAGAUUGGAAUCAGCACUGUCGCCACUGACAGACCGGUGCUGAUUGGCCAGGGGGAUGCAUCGGUAAAACCGCUCGGAUGACAAAGGUCUGUAACAAUACGUUAUAUUUUGGGGUUGCCUUUGCAUCGGGGGGGGGGGAAUACGCCUGUCAUUUACUUUCAAAACCACAAAUAAUUCAAAAUUUGUGACUUUAACAUGCAUAAAUGUGGAAUUUUUAGUUAGUUUGUUUAGAUGUCUUAUUUUAACUCAGCACUUUAAAAUCAAAUUCUAUGUUGGUUGAAAUUUAGAAAAUAAUACAGGGAGAGCGUUUUCAACUGUGUGAUAGUAUGGUACGCUGACUAAUUUUCACCAAACCCAAUUACCAUUCAUAAUAUCAAAUUAUAGCGUUCUAGACAAAAACGCUAGGGCCUAAAAGGGAACAUUUUUCUGGAAUGUGUUACAGGCGCAAUUUUCCAUUUUUCUGGAUGUCAUCCGUAUCUUACUUAUCCUUUUUUCCCAGGGCCGCGGUAUGUCCCUAAAGUAGCGGGUUAAACGUCAAUUUUCUUCUCAAUAACUUCUUUCUUUUCUUGCACCAAGUAUACGCCUAGUACA
Molecule: long non-coding RNA, 1165 nt
Organism: Patiria miniata (bat star)
Lineage: Eukaryota; Metazoa; Echinodermata; Asteroidea; Valvatida; Asterinidae
Exons: 4
Source: RefSeq, a predicted model, not a curated record